GUACUCGCCUCAGCAGCACAAAUAUUAAAAUUGGAACGAUACAGAGAAGAUUCGCAUGUCACCUGUGCAAGGAUGACAUGCAAAUUCGUGAAGCAUUCUGUUUUUUC
Molecule: small nuclear RNA, 107 nt
Organism: Nomascus leucogenys (northern white-cheeked gibbon)
Lineage: Eukaryota; Metazoa; Chordata; Mammalia; Primates; Hylobatidae
Source: Ensembl